GAGAGGAUGUGGAGAAACGGGAACCCUCUUGCACUGUUGGUGGGAAUGCAAACUGACAGAGCCACUAUUGAAAACAACACAGAGGAUCCUCAAAAAGUUAAAAAUAGAUCUACCAUAUGAUCUAGCAAUUCCCCUUCUGGGAAUAUAUCCAAAGGAAACAAAA
Molecule: long non-coding RNA, 163 nt
Organism: Prionailurus viverrinus (fishing cat)
Lineage: Eukaryota; Metazoa; Chordata; Mammalia; Carnivora; Felidae
Exons: 3
Source: RefSeq, a predicted model, not a curated record